This 506-nucleotide ribosomal RNA is filed under the name uncultured bacterium. RNAcentral describes it as "bacterial SSU rRNA". It matches the Rfam family "Bacterial small subunit ribosomal RNA", at positions 28 to 523 of the family's 1533-position model. The record is from RNAcentral.
GAUGAACGCUAGCGAUAGGCCUAACACAUGCAAGUCGAGGGGCAUCACAUGAGGCAGCAAUGCCGAUGGUGGCGACCGGCGCACGGGUGAGUAACACGUAUGCAACCUGCCUUCAACAAGGGGAUAACCCGUUGAAAAACGGACUAAUACCCUAUAAUACAGGGGUCCCGCAUGGGGAUAUUUGUUAAAGAUUGAUCGGUUGAAGAUGGGCAUGCGUUCCAUUAGCUGGUUGGUGAGGUAACGGCUCACCAAGGCAACGAUGGAUAGGGGAACUGAGAGGUUUAUCCCCCACACUGGUACUGAGACAUGGACCAGACUCCUACGGGAGGCAGCAGUGAGGAAUAUUGGUCAAUGGACGCAAGUCUGAACCAGCCACGUCGCGUGAAGGAAGACGGCCCUACGGGUUGUAAACUUCUUUUGUAAGGGAAUAAAGUGUAGUACGCGUACUAUUUUGCAUGUACCUUACGAAUAAGGAUCGGCUAACUCCGUGCCAGCAGCCGCGGUAA